CCGCACACCGAACCGAUCCACGGCAGGAGCGGGGGACCCACAGGAAUCACCGCCUGUUCCGGUCUCCGGAACAAGCUAGGGGUCAAGCCGUGCGCGAGCACGGCCGGACAUCUCCAGUCCGCACCCGACAGCUCACCUCGCAGGCGCCGGAGAGGAAUU
This is a non-coding RNA of Streptomyces scabiei 87.22, 159 nucleotides long. The record is from Rfam. Lineage: Bacteria; Bacillati; Actinomycetota; Actinomycetes; Kitasatosporales; Streptomycetaceae.